This 331-nucleotide ribosomal RNA is filed under the name uncultured Pseudoalteromonas sp. RNAcentral describes it as "bacterial SSU rRNA". It matches the Rfam family "Bacterial small subunit ribosomal RNA", at positions 340 to 663 of the family's 1533-position model. Lineage: Bacteria; Pseudomonadati; Pseudomonadota; Gammaproteobacteria; Alteromonadales; Pseudoalteromonadaceae. The record is from RNAcentral.
UACGGGAGGCAGCAGUGGGGAAUAUUGCACAAUGGGCGCAAGCCUGAUGCAGCCAUGCCGCGUGUGUGAAGAAGGCCUUCGGGUUGUAAAGCACUUUCAGUCAGGAGGAAAGGUUAGUAGUUAAUACCUAUUAGCUGUGACGUUACUGACAGAAGAAGCACCGGCUAACUCCGUGCCAGCAGCCGCGGUAAUACGGAGGGUGCGAGCGUUAAUCGGAAUUACUGGGCGUAAAGCGUACGCAGGCGGUUUGUUAAGCGAGAUGUGAAAGCCCCGGGCUCAACCUGGGAACUGCAUUUCGAACUGGCAAACUAGAGUGUGAUAGAGGGUGGUA